Python bivittatus (Burmese python) is the source of this 1940-nucleotide long non-coding RNA. RefSeq lists it as uncharacterized. The record is from RefSeq and is a predicted model, not a curated record. Lineage: Eukaryota; Metazoa; Chordata; Lepidosauria; Squamata; Pythonidae.
AACACGCCCAGGGUACGGGGAAGCCCUAGCCAAGUCCUGUGAUUUGCAAAGCACCCCGGACAAUGUUUUUCAGAGUCAUCAAGGAAGGAAAGAAGGCCGUCUGCUAAGUUUCGGGCGUCCUCCCUCGCGCGCAGUUGCCAGGCGCUUCUGUCCAGACGCAGGCUGGAAAGUUACUUUGCCACUCGCACCGCGUUCAAGGAGGGCGCCGCAGUGAUGUUGCGGAAGCGGGAAGGUUCUUGGAGAAGCCAGGACACAAAGCAGCGUGAAGUCAGAAUAGUCUAAGGUGCCUAAGUGUCCCAGCAGAAGACUGGGCUGUUCAUAGAAGAAAUGGACAAAUAAUUGAAAAGUUCUUUGGCACAGAGGCUUAAUCUCUAUAUCUGGGAGCAAAGCUGGAGGAAAGGAAGAUUUUGAGAAUGUCGUUCUUGGCUUGAAAUGCCAACAGUCAUCAGAUAGGAAAAGUCUGGAAAACUGUUUUCAGAAAGCAGAAGGCAAGAACUCAACUAAGUGCACUUGACUGAGCAACAUAAUCUAACAGCUUGUAUCCAGAUGCAUAUUGUUCCUUGUGCUGGACAUUGGAAUAUGUGAUGUAUGUGUGUGUAUAAACAUGGUGUAAUGUUUGGGUAAACCAACAUUUGCCUACAGCCUUUUCAAUCCAUGUCAUGCAAAUGCAGUGCUGGCACUAGAAUACGCCAAUAUUUUCUGUGGGGGAAGAUGAUCAUAAUUAUUCAUUUAUGUUUAGAACACCUACAAUUUAUUAAGCCCUGCACAAUGAUAACAUCACUAUCCCAUCUUGCCAGCCUGAGACCAGUCUAAAUAACUUCAUAAGCAAGAUGCUAUUGGCCAGGAAAACGCAUUAUUGAGUAACAUGGUCCUGGCUAUUACUGCAGGGCUCUCUACACAAGGCUAUUUUUUUUUUUUUAAAGUUGGACCAGAUUGCAGCCUAAAUAUUUUAGUGGAGUUCUCUUGGGAUAUUGAACAAUCAACAAUGGCACCGAGAACUAAAGUUUCUGAGCACAAAGGUUGGUGAUUACCUUGAAAGCCAUAAAUGGCUUAGGUCCAAAGUAUUUAAGCCAGAAUAGGGAACUGAAUACGAUCUGAGGGCUGGAUUCAGUCCUUCAUUUCCUCUAAUAGGCUGGAUAGUCAGGGACUUGGAAUUUAGGAACAGGAAGUCUAAUCCCUGAUACUUGCAUAUUUCUUGUAGAAGGCAGAAGUAAAUGACAGUUCCCUGCCUUCCCUUGCAUGCAGGAAACCUUACUCAUAACCACCCUGCUGUCCUUGAGCUGGAGCAAAGCAGAUAUGGGUCUCUUUUGGUUGACCUCUUUCUUUUCUGAAUGGGACAAGCAUGGUUUGGGUGAAAGAGUUCUGUGCUUCCAGGCAUUCUUCUGGGAUGCCUGAACAUGCUGCUCUCAGUGGUCUUGGAGGUACUGGGCCUUUCCUUCUGUGGAUGGUGCAGCACAGCUGAGAAAGGACUACACAUAUAGUCGCUGCCCAGAGUCACUUGUUGAGAUGGGCAGCUAUAGAAAUCAAACAAGUUCUUCCAGCUGGAGCAUAGCUUUUUGCAAUCUCAACUAUAUCAUAACUUCUCCUUUUGGAAAAUAUAUCAUGCACCAAAGACUGAACCAUGCUUGCAGAUGUAUCCCAUGGGUUUGGGGAAUGCAUUAGGAUUCACAGGCCAGGUAGACUAGCUUUGUGGGCCAGACAAAGUCUCCAGGCCAGAUGUUCUCCACAUCUAAUUUAAGGGGACACCACAAGUACUGUAUCAGCUUGCUUACUUCCUACAGACAGGAUCUUUAUAUCCCAUGUGUAAUGGAGGCAUGAAUGAAAUUAAAGGACUUAAUGUCCAUAUUCACCUUUGAUCCAAGAAACUGUCUAUUCAUUUCUAUCAUCUGCUAGACCAUUUCAGGUAGUUUUUGUCUUCAGGCAGAUGAUGAUUUCUGCAA